This 1288-nucleotide ribosomal RNA is filed under the name Shigella flexneri. RNAcentral's name for it is "bacterial SSU rRNA". Lineage: Bacteria; Pseudomonadati; Pseudomonadota; Gammaproteobacteria; Enterobacterales; Enterobacteriaceae. The record is from RNAcentral.
GCUACCAUGCAGUCGAACGGUAACAGGANYAGCUUGCUGYUUCGCUGACGAGUGGCGGACGGGUGAGUAAUGUCUGGGAAACUGCCUGAUGGAGGGGGAUAACUACUGGAAACGGUAGCUAAUACCGCAUAACGUCGCAAGACCAAAGAGGGGGACCUUCGGGCCUCUUGCCAUCGGAUGUGCCCAGAUGGGAUUAGCUUGUUGGUGGGGUAACGGCUCACCAAGGCGACGAUCCCUAGCUGGUCUGAGAGGAUGACCAGCCACACUGGAACUGAGACACGGUCCAGACUCCUACGGGAGGCAGCAGUGGGGAAUAUUGCACAAUGGGCGCAAGCCUGAUGCAGCCAUGCCGCGUGUAUGAAGAAGGCCUUCGGGUUGUAAAGUACUUUCAGCGGGGAGGAAGGGAGUAAAGUUAAUACCUUUGCUCAUUGACGUUACCCGCAGAAGAAGCACCGGCUAACUCCGUGCCAGCAGCCCGCGGUUAAUACGGAGGGUGCAAGCGUUAAUCGGAAUUACUGGGCGUAAAGCGCACGCAGGCGGUUUGUUAAGUCAGAUGUGAAAUCCCCGGGCUCAACCUGGGAACUGCAUCUGAUACUGGCAAGCUUGAGUCUCGUAGAGGGGGGUAGAAUUCCAGGUGUAGCGGUGAAAUGCGUAGAGAUCUGGAGGAAUACCGGUGGCGAAGGCGGCCCCCUGGACGAAGACUGACGCUCAGGUGCGAAAGCGUGGGGAGCAAACAGGAUUAGAUACCCUGGUAGUCCACGCCGUAAACGAUGUCGACUUGGAGGUUGUGCCCUUGAGGCGUGGCUUCCGGAGCUAACGCGUUAAGUCGACCGCCUGGGGAGUACGGCCGCAAGGUUAAAACUCAAAUGAAUUGACGGGGGCCCGCACAAGCGGUGGAGCAUGUGGUUUAAUUCGAUGCAACGCGAAGAACCUUACCUGGUCUUGACAUCCACGGAAGUUUUCAGAGAUGAGAAUGUGCCUUCGGGAACCGUGAGACAGGUGCUGCAUGGCUGUCGUCAGCUCGUGUUGUGAAAUGUUGGGUUAAGUCCCGCAACGAGCGCAACCCUUAUCCUUUGUUGCCAGCGGUCCGGCCGGGAACUCAAAGGAGACUGCCAGUGAUAAACUGGAGGAAAGGGGGGGAUGACGUCMAGUCAUCAUGGCCCUUACGACCAGGGCUACACACGUGCUACAAUGGCGCAUACAAAGAGAAGCGACCUCGCGAGAGCAAGCGGACCUCAUAAAGUGCGUCGUUAAUCCCGGAUUGGAGUCUGCMACUCGACUCCAUGAA